Molecule: ribosomal RNA, 2915 nt
Filed under: Salmonella enterica subsp. enterica
Lineage: Bacteria; Pseudomonadati; Pseudomonadota; Gammaproteobacteria; Enterobacterales; Enterobacteriaceae
Description: bacterial LSU rRNA
Rfam family: Bacterial large subunit ribosomal RNA
Source: RNAcentral
GGGUUGUGAGGUUAAGCGACUAAGCGUACACGGUGGAUGCCCUGGCAGUCAGAGGCGAUGAAGGGCGUGCUAAUCUGCGAUAAGCGCCGGUAAGGUGAUAUGAACCGUUAUAACCGGCGAUACCCGAAUGGGGAAACCCAGUGUGAUUCGUCACACUAUCAUUAACUGAAUCCAUAGGUUAAUGAGGCGAACCGGGGGAACUGAAACAUCUAAGUACCCCGAGGAAAAGAAAUCAACCGAGAUUCCCCCAGUAGCGGCGAGCGAACGGGGAGGAGCCCAGAGCCUGAAUCAGCAUGUGUGUUAGUGGAAGCGUCUGGAAAGGCGCGCGAUACAGGGUGACAGCCCCGUACACAAAAGCGCAUGUGCUGUGAGCUCGAUGAGUAGGGCGGGACACGUGGUAUCCUGUCUGAAUAUGGGGGGACCAUCCUCCAAGGCUAAAUACUCCUGACUGACCGAUAGUGAACCAGUACCGUGAGGGAAAGGCGAAAAGAACCCCGGCGAGGGGAGUGAAAAAGAACCUGAAACCGUGUACGUACAAGCAGUGGGAGCACCCUUUGGGUGUGACUGCGUACCUUUUGUAUAAUGGGUCAGCGACUUAUAUUCUGUAGCAAGGUUAACCGAAUAGGGGAGCCGGAGGGAAACCGAGUCUUAACCGGGCGUUAAGUUGCAGGGUAUAGACCCGAAACCCGGUGAUCUAGCCAUGGGCAGGUUGAAGGUUGGGUAACACUAACUGGAGGACCGAACCGACUAAUGUUGAAAAAUUAGCGGAUGACCUGUGGCUGGGGGUGAAAGGCCAAUCAAACCGGGAGAUAGCUGGUUCUCCCCGAAAGCUAUUUAGGUAGCGCCUCGUGAAUUCAUCUCCGGGGGUAGAGCACUGUUUCGGCUAGGGGGCCAUCCCGGCUUACCAACCCGAUGCAAACUGCGAAUACCGGAGAAUGUUAUCACGGGAGACACACGGCGGGUGCUAACGUCCGUCGUGAAGAGGGAAACAACCCAGACCGCCAGCUAAGGUCCCAAAGUCAUGGUUAAGUGGGAAACGAUGUGGGAAGGCCCAGACAGCCAGGAUGUUGGCUUAGAAGCAGCCAUCAUUUAAAGAAAGCGUAAUAGCUCACUGGUCGAGUCGGCCUGCGCGGAAGAUGUAACGGGGCUAAACCAUGCACCGAAGCUGCGGCAGCGACGCUUAUGCGUUGUUGGGUAGGGGAGCGUUCUGUAAGCCUGCGAAGGUGGCCUGUGAGGGUUGCUGGAGGUAUCAGAAGUGCGAAUGCUGACAUAAGUAACGAUAAAGCGGGUGAAAAGCCCGCUCGCCGGAAGACCAAGGGUUCCUGUCCAACGUUAAUCGGGGCAGGGUGAGUCGACCCCUAAGGCGAGGCCGAAAGGCGUAGUCGAUGGGAAACGGGUUAAUAUUCCCGUACUUGGUGUUACUGCGAAGGGGGGACGGAGAAGGCUAUGUUGGCCGGGCGACGGUUGUCCCGGUUUAAGCGUGUAGGUGUGUGUUCCAGGUAAAUCCGGUUCACUUUAACACUGAGGCGUGACGACGAGGCACUACGGUGCUGAAGCAACAAAUGCCCUGCUUCCAGGAAAAGCCUCUAAGCAUCAGGUAACAUCAAAUCGUACCCCAAACCGACACAGGUGGUCAGGUAGAGAAUACCAAGGCGCUUGAGAGAACUCGGGUGAAGGAACUAGGCAAAAUGGUGCCGUAACUUCGGGAGAAGGCACGCUGACACGUAGGUGAAGUGAUUUACUCAUGGAGCUGAAGUCAGUCGAAGAUACCAGCUGGCUGCAACUGUUUAUUAAAAACACAGCACUGUGCAAACACGAAAGUGGACGUAUACGGUGUGACGCCUGCCCGGUGCCGGAAGGUUAAUUGAUGGGGUCAGCGCAAGCGAAGCUCCUGAUCGAAGCCCCGGUAAACGGCGGCCGUAACUAUAACGGUCCUAAGGUAGCGAAAUUCCUUGUCGGGUAAGUUCCGACCUGCACGAAUGGCGUAAUGAUGGCCAGGCUGUCUCCACCCGAGACUCAGUGAAAUUGAACUCGCUGUGAAGAUGCAGUGUACCCGCGGCAAGACGGAAAGACCCCGUGAACCUUUACUAUAGCUUGACACUGAACAUUGAGCCUUGAUGUGUAGGAUAGGUGGGAGGCUUUGAAGUGUGGACGCCAGUCUGCAUGGAGCCGACCUUGAAAUACCACCCUUUAAUGUUUGAUGUUCUAACGUGGACCCGUUACCCGGGUUGCGGACAGUGUCUGGUGGGUAGUUUGACUGGGGCGGUCUCCUCCUAAAGAGUAACGGAGGAGCACGAAGGUUGGCUAAUCCUGGUCGGACAUCAGGAGGUUAGUGCAAUGGCAUAAGCCAGCUUGACUGCGAGCGUGACGGCGCGAGCAGGUGCGAAAGCAGGUCAUAGUGAUCCGGUGGUUCUGAAUGGAAGGGCCAUCGCUCAACGGAUAAAAGGUACUCCGGGGAUAACAGGCUGAUACCGCCCAAGAGUUCAUAUCGACGGCGGUGUUUGGCACCUCGAUGUCGGCUCAUCACAUCCUGGGGCUGAAGUAGGUCCCAAGGGUAUGGCUGUUCGCCAUUUAAAGUGGUACGCGAGCUGGGUUUAGAACGUCGUGAGACAGUUCGGUCCCUAUCUGCCGUGGGCGCUGGAGAACUGAGGGGGGCUGCUCCUAGUACGAGAGGACCGGAGUGGACGCAUCACUGGUGUUCGGGUUGUCAUGCCAAUGGCACUGCCCGGUAGCUAAAUGCGGAAGAGAUAAGUGCUGAAAGCAUCUAAGCACGAAACUUGCCCCGAGAUGAGUUCUCCCUGAGACUUAGAGUCUCCUGAAGGAACGUUGAAGACGACGACGUUGAUAGGCCGGGUGUGUAAGCGCAGCGAUGCGUUGAGCUAACCGGUACUAAUGAACCGUGAGGCUUAACCUUA